UUGAAAACUAAAUACAUUUUUCAUAUAAUAGCGAGAAUAUGGCUUGCGAGUUUCUACCGGUUUACCGUAAAUAAACCGACUAUGAAAAAGCAGAGAGUAAUC
Molecule: regulatory RNA element, 102 nt
Organism: Bacilli bacterium VT-13-104
Lineage: Bacteria; Bacillati; Bacillota; Bacilli
Rfam family: Purine riboswitch aptamer
About the family: Riboswitches are metabolite binding domains within certain messenger RNAs that serve as precision sensors for their corresponding targets. Allosteric rearrangement of mRNA structure is mediated by ligand binding, and this results in modulation of gene expression.
Source: Rfam